CAUGGCUCAGGAUGAACGCUGGCGGCGUGCCUAAUACAUGCAAGUAGAACGCUGAAGCUUGGUGCUUGCACCGAGCGGAUGAGUUGCGAACGGGUGAGUAACGCGUAGGUAACCUGCCUGGUAGCGGGGGAUAACUAUUGGAAACGAUAGCUAAUACCGCAUAACAGUAGAUGUUGCAUGACAUUUGCUUGAAAGGGGCAAUUGCUCCACUACCAGAUGGACCUGCGUUGUAUUAGCUAGUAGGUGAGGUAACGGCUCACCUAGGCGACGAUACAUAGCCGACCUGAGAGGUGGAUCGGCCACAUGGGGACGGAGACACGGCCAGACUCCUACGG
Molecule: ribosomal RNA, 335 nt
Filed under: uncultured bacterium
Lineage: Bacteria
Description: bacterial SSU rRNA
Rfam family: Bacterial small subunit ribosomal RNA
Source: RNAcentral